AGUGGCGUACGGGUGAGUAACACGUGGAUGAUCUACCUUUUAGUGGGGAAUAACCCUGGGAAACCGGGGCUAAUACCGCAUGAUCUCGUAAGAGGAAAGCAGCAAUGCGUUGAAAGAGGAGUCCGCGGCUGAUUAGCUGGAUGGCGGGGUAAUGGCCCACCAUGGCGAAGAUCGGUAGCCGGCCUGAGAGGGCACACGGCCACACUGGCACUGAAACACGGGCCAGACUCCUACGGGAGGCAGCAGUGGGGAAUCUUGCACAAUGGAGGAAACUCUGAUGCAGCGACGCCGCGUGAGCGAUGAAGCCCUUCGGGGUGUAAAGUUCUUUCGACGGGAACGAUAAUGACGGUACCCGAAGAAGAAGCUGCGGCUAACUACGUGCCAGCAGCCGCGGUAAUACGUAGGCAGCAAGCGUUGUUCGGAAUUACUGGGCGUAAAGAGUGCGUAGGCGGUGCUCUAAGUCUGUUGUGAAAUCUCCCGGCUCAACUGGGAGGGUGCGGCGGA
Molecule: ribosomal RNA, 504 nt
Filed under: uncultured bacterium
Lineage: Bacteria
Description: bacterial SSU rRNA
Rfam family: Bacterial small subunit ribosomal RNA
Source: RNAcentral